AUGCCGCCCGCGACAUCCUCCAGCGCCAUGACGCAGCUUUCUCGGGGCGCUCCAUCCCAGACGGCACCCACGUGUUCGCGCACAACACACGCUCCAUGGGCUGGCUUCCGGCCAGCAGCCCCCGAUGGCGCGCCCUACGCAAGGUGUGCUCAGGUGAGCUCUUCGCGCCGCACCGUCUCGACAUGCACCAGUCUCUGCGCCAGGAGAAGACGCCAGCAACUCGUCUCCCACGUGACGCAGCUGGCACGAGAGGGCACACCCGUUUGCGUCGGCCGCCUCGGUUUUAUGACUGCACUUAACCUGCUCUCCUCCACCAUCUUCUCAACCGAGUUGGCCAUCCUCGACGACCGCCAUGUCAAGCCUUCGGACUUCAAGGCCAUGCUCGCAGAGCUAAACGUGACCGUCGGAUUGCCAAACCUCUCGGACUUCAUCCCUGAAGUGGCGUGGCUAGACCUGCAGGGCCUGAGGAGACGCAUCGAGGGCUUGUUCACGCGGCUGCAUGCCAUGAUCGGCGAGCAGAUCGAGCAUCAGAUGCGGGACCGUGCCGCCAUCGCAGGUGCGCCGACCAAGAAAAACUUCCUGGACGUGCUGCUGGACUACCACAACUUCCUGGACGUGCUUCGAGCGCCAGACGGUCCUCUCAUUGAUUUCGGACUUGUUCAGCGCGGGGACGGAUACAAGUUCAGCCACGGUAGAAUGGGCGAUGGCGGAGCUGCUACUGAAUCCAUCAUGCAUGUCGAGAGCCCGCGAAGAGCUCGACCAAGUGAUAGGCUCUAA
RNAcentral lists this ribosomal RNA (777 nucleotides) under Triticum aestivum (bread wheat). RNAcentral describes it as "partial small subunit ribosomal RNA". Lineage: Eukaryota; Viridiplantae; Streptophyta; Magnoliopsida; Poales; Poaceae. The record is from RNAcentral.